AAGAAUUACCAUAUUAGGCAAAUUACUAACAGUGAGUUUCAAAAUAUGUUAUUUGUCAACUCAAGAAUUAUUUACGUCUUUUAGACAAUAUUGGAGGCGUUUAAUACCAAGCGGAAUUGUAUAAUUAUGCAAUUAAAUUAUAUAAAAUAGUAGUAAAAAUUAUCGUUCAAGAAAAUUAAAAUAUAUUUUAGUUUCUUUUAUAUACGCUCUGUAAAGACUGUAUUUGCUGAGUCCACUGUGCACAAAUAUAAAUAAAUUUGUCAACAGAAAUAACCAAGGGCUAAUGCAAAGUACAGUCUCGAUUAGCUGUCCAAAACGGACCGAAAGUAGGUCGGAUAAUAUUAAAUGUCGGAUAAUUUCGGAAUACUAAUAAAAUGGACGAUGACACACAGGCCUAUUGAAUGUCAAGGUCGUAUCCGGGAGACCACAGUUUCAAAUCUCGACUCGAACAUCCGGCUAUACUGUAAGAGAUUUACGUGGGUUUUCUCAGUCCCCCCAGCCAAAUGCGACAUGUUAAUGUAAUUCUUGUUAUAUAAUUCUAAUUCAUUAAUAAUCGCCUAACCUAGA
Molecule: non-coding RNA, 567 nt
Organism: Zootermopsis nevadensis
Lineage: Eukaryota; Metazoa; Arthropoda; Insecta; Blattodea; Termopsidae
Source: RefSeq, a predicted model, not a curated record